This 502-nucleotide ribosomal RNA is filed under the name uncultured bacterium. RNAcentral's name for it is "partial 16S ribosomal RNA". It matches the Rfam family "Bacterial small subunit ribosomal RNA", at positions 30 to 523 of the family's 1533-position model. The record is from RNAcentral.
AUUGAACGCUGGCGGCAGGCUUAACACAUGCAAGUCGAGCGGAGUGAUGGUGCUUGCACUAUCACUUAGCGGCGGACGGGUGAGUAAUGCUUAGGAAUCUGCCUAUUAGUGGGGGACAACAUCUCGAAAGGGAUGCUAAUACCGCAUACGUCCUACGGGAGAAAGCAGGGGAUCACUUGUGACCUUGCGCUAAUAGAUGAGCCUAAGUCGGAUUAGCUAGUUGGUGGGGUAAAGGCCUACCAAGGUGACGAUCUGUAGCGGGUCUGAGAGGAUGAUCCGCCACACAGGGACUGAGACACGGCCCAGACUCCUACGGGAGGCAGCAGUGGGGAAUAUUGGACAAGGGGGGAACCCUGAUCCAGCCAUGCCGCGUGUGUGAAGAAGGCCUUAUGGUUGUAAAGCACUUUAAGCGAGGAGGAGGCUCUUUUGGUUAAUACCCAAGAUGAGUGGACGUUACUCGCAGAAUAAGCACCGGCUAACUCUGUGCCAGCAGCCGCCGUAA